Molecule: transfer RNA, 71 nt
Filed under: Strigamia maritima
Lineage: Eukaryota; Metazoa; Arthropoda; Chilopoda; Geophilomorpha; Linotaeniidae
Rfam family: tRNA
About the family: Transfer RNA (tRNA) molecules are approximately 80 nucleotides in length. Their secondary structure includes four short double-helical elements and three loops (D, anti-codon, and T loops). Further hydrogen bonds mediate the characteristic L-shaped molecular structure. tRNAs have two regions of fundamental functional importance: the anti-codon, which is responsible for specific mRNA codon recognition, and the 3' end, to which the tRNAs corresponding amino acid is attached (by aminoacyl-tRNA synthetases). tRNAs cope with the degeneracy of the genetic code in two manners: having more than one tRNA (with a specific anti-codon) for a particular amino acid; and 'wobble' base-pairing, i.e. permitting non-standard base-pairing at the 3rd anti-codon position.
Source: Rfam by way of RNAcentral
UUCCAGGUAGCUUAAUGGUAAAGCAUCCAAUUAGCAAUUGAGGGAUCUGGGUUCAAGUUCCGGCCCGGGCU